CCUACGGGGCGCAGCAGGCGCGAAAACUUUACAAUGCGGGCAACCGUGAUAAGGGGACACCGAGUGCCAGCAACAUUUGCUGGCUGUCCAGGUGCGUAAAAUGCACCUGUUAGCAAGGGCCGGGCAAGACCGGUGCCAGCCGCCGCGGUAA
Molecule: ribosomal RNA, 151 nt
Filed under: uncultured archaeon
Lineage: Archaea
Description: partial 16S ribosomal RNA
Rfam family: Archaeal small subunit ribosomal RNA
Source: RNAcentral